AAACAUCACCUUUGGGAUGAAGAGGAACCAUUGAUUCGGACUGAUUUGGGGGGCAAUUUCUGCGAAUUCCAGGAGUGCUUUUUGUCAUAAUUGAACCUUUCAUUUUAAAACCAAAAUAUACGUUGGAUCAAGGUGGGGGAGAAAAAAACCCAGCAAGUCCCUACUUUGUUUCUUAAAGGAAUAUAAAAUGAGCAGAAUCUACUCUAGGGCUGUGCUUGUAUGUGAAAAAACAAAACAAUACAAACCCAGAAUAUUUUUCAGGACUCGUUAGAACGGUAAGAGUUUUAAAUUCCCAUUUAAAAUUUUCCUAACAUUUCCAAUGAUCUUCAUGCUCAUAAAAGCUAGAUUUAAAAACUUUUCAGAAGAAAACAAAAUAAUGCCUGAUUCUCUUUUUUACCCAUUGCAAGGCAUUCUUCCCCUCGCCGUCCCUUCCCCCUCUGGUGUUGGUGUAUGUGUGUGUGUGCGUGUGUGUGUGUGUGUGUGUGUGUGUGUGACCAUAGACGACCCAUACUAAUCAGGUCUCAGAGUAAAUAGCAGCGCAGGGCGAUCUCAAUGUAAAUUGCGCUUGUCAGAAGCACACCCCCCCCCCACUUUCUUUCCUCCUCCCCUCGCCAUCCCCGUCAGUAGGUAGCUGAGAGGGAGGGGAAAGAAAAAAAAAAAAGAAAGAAAGAAAAAGAGGAGGGGGGAGGGGCUCUCCAACCAAUGGCGUGCGGGAGGCUUGGCUAACCUUAGCCUCCCAUUUUCUCUCCCCCCGAUUCAGGGCUCUGACCAGUCAGUCGCCUUUGAUUAUCAGUUGCCAGCAGCCCUUCUCUUGGCUCCUUGACACGAGCUCCAUAUAAGGCAGCGAUCUCCAUAGAAACGUGUCAGUUUCAAUAGUAGUGUCAAAGUUCACUAUAUACAGACAUUCGCACAGAUCCCCCUUUCGGAAACACUGCUCUGCGAGUCCUCCCGUUUAAACGCAUUCAAUUUUGGGGUCUCUCUCUCUUCUCUCUCUCUCUCUCUCCUCUCUCUCUCUCUCCUCCGCCUCUCUCUCUCUCUCUCAAUCUCUCUUUCUCUCUCCUCUCUCCCCUUUCUCUUUUCUUACAUAUUCUAUUAGUUGUUUCCCCGUAUUCUUCUUUUUCUCCUUUUUCUCCCUCCUCCUUCUCUCUUUUACUCCAUUCCUGCAGAAGAGUGAGGGCUAAACUUAAAAAAAAGAGAGAGAGAGAGAGAGGAGGAGGAGGCACCCCUUUCGUAUUCUUCUUAUCGUUAUUUUAUACAUAUAUGAUUUUUUUUGGAGGGAGGGUGUUGGUUCCCGGCUGAAGAGCACUUAUUUAAAAUACUAAAAAAAGAACAUUUUUGGGCGAUCUCCAGGGUUUUUUUAACUAGCUCUGUGUGUUAUAGCAGAAGAAGCAGAAGAAGGAGCAAGAAAGAGGAAAAGAAGAGGAUUAUUUAUUCGACCUACUUUGGAUGUCUCUCUCGCUUUUUUUUUUUUUUUUU
RNAcentral lists this long non-coding RNA (1476 nucleotides) under Capra hircus (goat). Its description in RNAcentral is "lncRNA (ENSCHIG00010020680.1)". The record is from RNAcentral. Lineage: Eukaryota; Metazoa; Chordata; Mammalia; Artiodactyla; Bovidae.